AUAUGCGCGAGUCAAAGGGUUGGCUAAACCCCAAGGCGAAACGAAAGUGAAAACGAUUUUUUCUUCAUAGGGCCGAUCCGGUUCGGGGUGCGUUAGCGGGGAGUCUUUAUCCCCCUUCGCGGUCGUUCCCCUUCUUCUUCGGCAUCCUUUUCGCUGCUGCUGCUGCGCGCGUUUCGUGCGCGCGCUAGUAAGCGGGCGGGUAGGCGUGUCGUCGUGGUCGGGGCGCCGCGGAGGGUGGCUCCCUACCUUUCCCCUCGAUUCGUCUUCCAUAAAGUAUGAGAACGGCGCAGGCUCGGGGCUCGCAGGCGACCUCCCUGCCGCUAAGGCUUAACCGUUCGCAUCCUUCGUUCGGCGCUCGCAUCAUCGGUUGGUUCGUCGACGCUUCGUCGUCGUCGUCGUCGUAGGCGGUUCGCCGCCUCGGCGUCGGCGUCAGCGUGGCUGAGGCCCCAGCCGUAACGUAAAAGCGUUCGUUCGAGGUCGUCGGUUCGCUGGCAAGGGACGAGCGGCGGGUUCUUUGAGCGCAUAUUUUAGUACCCGAAAGAUGGUGAUCUAUGCUUGGCCAGGAUGAAGCCAGAGGAAACUCUGGUGGAGGUCCGUAGCGAUUCUGACGUGCAAAUCGAUCGUCGGAGCUGUGCAUAGGGGCGAAAGACCUAUCGA
This 657-nucleotide ribosomal RNA is filed under the name Armadillidium nasatum. RNAcentral's name for it is "partial 28S ribosomal RNA". The stretch from base 533 to 657 matches the Rfam family "Eukaryotic large subunit ribosomal RNA", at positions 814 to 938 of the family's 3401-position model. The record is from RNAcentral. Lineage: Eukaryota; Metazoa; Arthropoda; Malacostraca; Isopoda; Armadillidiidae.